Coregonus clupeaformis (lake whitefish) is the source of this 658-nucleotide long non-coding RNA. RefSeq lists it as uncharacterized. NCBI's taxonomy places the organism in Eukaryota, Metazoa, Chordata, Actinopteri, Salmoniformes, Salmonidae. The record is from RefSeq and is a predicted model, not a curated record. The transcript is spliced from 3 exons.
UGGUUAGCUACUGUUCGAACUAAAAUGGCUAAUGAGCUAGCUAACUUUGACACAUAGCUAGUUAUUUGGUAGCUAAUGGGACAAUGUGCCUCUAAACUUGAACUAGCCUACACCCAUUUGCUGCAGAAAAUGGCAGCUUAACGUUAUAUUCAACCAGCACAACUUUGUCUACUUCAGCCUUUGUAAUUGCAGUGUAACGUCUAAGUAAUGCAUAGUGCAUUGCGUAGCUAGUACUACUGAGAUAAAUGGAUAGUUAGCUAACGCUUAGUUGAACCAGCACUAAAUGAUGAUUUUGAAUAUAUAUUUUCUUUGUUAACAGAGGCAAAAUGCUGUUGCGUGUUCAGCUCGGGGAAGAGCAGAAAUACGUCAAGCUGUCUGAGCUGACAUUCAAUGCUUUCUUGAAAGAAGUGUGUCUAAAAUUCAACAUACCAGAAAGCAGAAAGCCAGACAUUAAGGUGUAUGACCAGUCUGACACAGAAGUUGACUCAGAUGUUUUUGAAGAAUUAGUAAAGGAGUCACCUGGAACUUUCAGAAUCAUGCUGGGCAAUGGACUUGAUACCUCUCAUUCAUCAUCAUGCUCGGGUACAUCUGAUGACACCAUCAUUCUGAAUUUCACUGUGUGUGACGAUGUUGAAGAAGUAGCGGCUGGCGAAGGAAG